GGGCUAAUAGUUUAUUCAAAACUGUAGACUGUAAAUCUACCAAAGGAACCCCCUUAGCCUA
Molecule: transfer RNA, 61 nt
Filed under: Terebratulina retusa
Lineage: Eukaryota; Metazoa; Brachiopoda; Rhynchonellata; Terebratulida; Cancellothyrididae
Description: transfer RNA-Tyr
Source: RNAcentral